UUUAAGCGGUGGGGGAAAAACUCCUACAGGAGCUCCCGGCUUGGAUGUCGUGAGCCGGGGAGUGUGGGGUUGGGUCAUGCGAUGCAUCCCGACCCACUAAAAAACCACCCACCGCUCUUCCAACACCACCACGGAACUUAGUGGGCAUUACUUCAUGGUGGGUGGGCCAUUUGCUCUUUACUUUAAUUUACUUUCACUUCUCCUCUUCUUUGCUUUUUGCUUUUAGAACGGCAGAUACAAAGGCGUUGAUUUGUAUCCAUUUUUCUUCAUCUUCCAACAUUGUGUCUACUAUGUUUUCGGUGGAUAGUUUUAUAUAUAGCUUUUCCUCUACGGUUUGACGUUCUAAGUUCCAUCUAGGGCAGUAUAUAAUAGUGUGUUCAGCGUCAUCUUUCUCGCCGCAAUAAAUGCAUUCAUCAUCUCUGCUUCGCUCUCUUUCGUAGAGGUAUUUUCUAAAACUGCCAUGUCCCGUCAGAAAUUGCGUUAAAUAGUAAUUCAAGGCACCAUGUUUUCUUAGAAACCAUUUCCUUAUAUCUUUUAUUAGAUAUGUUGACCAGCUUUUAGAUGCACUCCAUUCGCUCUGCCAUUUUUCUAGCAUGAGGUUUCUACUUUCUUCUUUUGUUUUGCCGUUGAAAAUUUGUCGUCUUUCCUGUGUUAGUAGGUGAAUAGGAGGUAAGCCGCUUAUGGCUAAAAUCGAAUCUGUAGCAACAGUGCGAUAGGCACAUGUCACCCUAAGUGCCAUUCUACGUUGUAGCGAUAAAAGUUUGUUCCGAAGUGAUAUUGUGUCCAUUGCCUUUGCCCAUAUUGGUGCUCCGUAUAAAAUUACAGAGUGUCCCACUGUGCUCAACAUCUUUCUUUUCAUCGUUGACGGACCUCCAAUGUUAGGCAUUACUGACGACAAUGCAGAGAUCGUUUUUUCUGCUUUUAUAGCGCACUCUGUUAUGUGCCUUUUAAAGUUGAUAUUUCUUCCUAUCCACACGCCGAGGUAUUUUACUGCUUCUUUUGGCGUAACUAAAGUUCCCAUGAUAUUAAACUGUACGUCCGGAGGUUUUCUUCUGCAAUUUAGAAGUACUGCUUCUGUUUUAUCGGGUGCUAAUUUUAGCUUUUUGCUGUACAUCCAGUGUACAAUUUUGUCUAGAGUAUCAUUUGUUUUUUCUACUAAAUCCUCUAUGGUUUUUGCAGAUACAAUCACAGCCAAAUCAUCGGCAUAUCCCACGAGCUCGACAUCUUCCGCAACCGACAGUCUCAGGACACUGUCAUACAUUAUAUUCCAUAGCAGUGGUGCGAGCACCGACCCCUGUGGAACCCCGCUGUUUACUUCUAGUAGUUUACCAUGUUCGGUUUAGGAAGAAGAAUCAGUCGUGCUGUUUUCCAGCAAUCCGGAAAGGAUUUUCUCCUUAGACAGGAAUACCAUCUGGUCCAGUGGCUUUACCAGGUUUCAGGCGUUUGGCGGCAAUUAGUAGUUCUUCCAGUGUGAAAUUUUUUAUGGGGUUCUUUAUUGGUUCGGGCCAUACUACUUCAGGAUGGCGCGGAAACAGAUGCACUACAACGUUUUCCAGUUC
Long non-coding RNA from Tribolium castaneum (red flour beetle), 1559 nucleotides. RefSeq lists it as uncharacterized. Lineage: Eukaryota; Metazoa; Arthropoda; Insecta; Coleoptera; Tenebrionidae. The record is from RefSeq and is a predicted model, not a curated record. The transcript has 3 exons.